RNAcentral lists this transfer RNA (74 nucleotides) under Escherichia coli. RNAcentral describes it as "tRNA-Gly". It matches the Rfam family "tRNA". From Rfam's summary of the family: Transfer RNA (tRNA) molecules are approximately 80 nucleotides in length. Their secondary structure includes four short double-helical elements and three loops (D, anti-codon, and T loops). Further hydrogen bonds mediate the characteristic L-shaped molecular structure. tRNAs have two regions of fundamental functional importance: the anti-codon, which is responsible for specific mRNA codon recognition, and the 3' end, to which the tRNAs corresponding amino acid is attached (by aminoacyl-tRNA synthetases). tRNAs cope with the degeneracy of the genetic code in two manners: having more than one tRNA (with a specific anti-codon) for a particular amino acid; and 'wobble' base-pairing, i.e. permitting non-standard base-pairing at the 3rd anti-codon position. The record is from RNAcentral. RNAcentral also lists the same sequence under 37 other names. Lineage: Bacteria; Pseudomonadati; Pseudomonadota; Gammaproteobacteria; Enterobacterales; Enterobacteriaceae.
GCGGGUAUGGUGAAAUGGUAUCACAGGAGCUUCCCAAGCUUCUAGCGCGGGUUCGAUUCCCGCUACCCGCUCCA